ACUAUUAAACGGCCGCGGUAUCCUAACCGUGCAAAGGUAGCAUAAUCAUUUGUCUAUUAAUUGUAGACCUGUAUGAAAGGCAAAAUGAGAGCCCAACUGUCUCUUAUAACAAAUCAAUUAAACUGAUCUCCUAGUACAAAAGCUAGAAUAUCAACAUAAGACCAGAAGACCCUGUGAAGCUUUAACAAACCUAUUAAACCCAAUAAUAAUUACUUUCGGUUGGGGCGACCUUGGAACAAAAAAGAACUUCCAACACAUGACUUCCUCAUAAAACAGGCAAACAAGCCAAUACUAGACCCAGCACAGCUGAUAAUUGAAAUAAGUUACUCCAGGGAUAACAGCGCCCUCUUCUUUAAGAGCCCAUAUCAAAAAGAAGGUUUACGACCUCGAUGUUGGAUCA
Molecule: ribosomal RNA, 400 nt
Filed under: Protobothrops jerdonii
Lineage: Eukaryota; Metazoa; Chordata; Lepidosauria; Squamata; Viperidae
Description: partial 16S ribosomal RNA
Rfam family: Bacterial large subunit ribosomal RNA
Source: RNAcentral